This 495-nucleotide ribosomal RNA is filed under the name uncultured bacterium. Its description in RNAcentral is "partial 16S ribosomal RNA". It matches the Rfam family "Bacterial small subunit ribosomal RNA", at positions 28 to 523 of the family's 1533-position model. The record is from RNAcentral.
GAUGAACGCUGGCGGCGUGCUUAACACAUGCAAGUCGAACGAAGCGCUUGAAACAGAUUCUUCGGAUGAAGUUUCCUGUGACUGAGUGGCGGACGGGUGAGUAACGCGUGGGUAACCUGCCUCAUACAGGGGGAUAACAGUUAGAAAUGGCUGCUAAUACCGCAUAAGCGCACGGCAUCGCAUGAUGCAGUGUGAAAAACUCCGGUGGUAUGAGAUGGACCCGCGUUGGAUUAGCUAGUUGGCAGGGUAACGGCCUACCAAGGCGACGAUUCAUAGCCGGCCUGAGAGGGUGGACGGCCACAUUGGGACUGAGACACGGCCCAGACUCCUACGGGAGGCAGCAGUGGGGAAUAUUGCACAAUGGGGGAAACCCUGAUGCAGCGACGCCGCGUGAGCGAAGAAGUAUUUCGGUAUGUAAAGCUCUAUCAGCAGGGAAGAGAAUGACGGUACCUGACUAAGAAGCCCCGGCUAACUACGUGCCAGCAGCCGCAGUAA